UCUUGGCUCAAAUACUAUUUGUAACUUCUUAAGCCAACCGCGUGUAGAUAUUGUCCAUUUUAGUCCGUUACAUAUAACCGUAAGCCUCAGGGUUUAAAAUCCAUCUACUGUGAAGAAGUUUCUACACCUUUUUUAGAAUGCUUCGUUUCUUUCUCCAAUCAAUAUGUGGGGUCUUAUACUUAUGCCCAAUUUGAACCCGAAGGAUAAAGGAAAUCCAGGAGAAAUACCAGGAUAUACCAAGGUGGCUCCUGUGAUUGCUCAUUUUGUUUGGAAAAUGGUUCUACCUUUAUUUCAUCUCCACCUGUUGCACAGAAUCUCAAUACAGAAAACCCUAUGCAAAAUUUAGGAAGUUCCCAAAUCAAUUUCAUUAUCCAAGGAAGAAGGGAUCCUAAUGGCUUCUGAUGUGUUUUGGUCCAAUAAUGACCCAACUGGAGAGAGCGAAAAAGGCAUGCAGCAGCAUUCGAAUUAUCAGUGUGCAGAGGAGGAUUACCUACAAGAUCCUGAUCUAUCCUGCUUUGACAUUGGGGAGAUUGGUUAGGUUAGCAUGAUUCUUUGGUUUUAUCUCAUAUCAUGCUUUUGAAUCAUGAGAGAAACAAUAUCUUUUUCCCAAUCAAUCAAUAUAUAUAUAUAUAUAUAUAUAUGAAUCAUUAGUAUUUUAUGAAUCUUUAGAAGAAGAAGACUACAUUCAA
Cucurbita maxima (winter squash) is the source of this 689-nucleotide long non-coding RNA. RefSeq lists it as uncharacterized. The transcript has 3 exons. The record is from RefSeq and is a predicted model, not a curated record. NCBI's taxonomy places the organism in Eukaryota, Viridiplantae, Streptophyta, Magnoliopsida, Cucurbitales, Cucurbitaceae.